AGAAGCUAAGCUCGAUGCACCACAGGUACCUGCUCCAGAACCCAAGCUUUGAUCCUGCCCUUGUGAAAUUUUGCACCAUAGAUUUGGGAAGCGGUGCUGACUGAUACCCACAGCUCAUCUGUGAAAGAGGAAGAAGAGGGGACCUUCUCUGUGAGCCUCCCUGUGGGCAAGAAAGGAAAUCUUUCCUCCCUAUAGAUUCCACACAGGGGGGAAGUUCCUGUGCCCAGGCAAGGGCACAGCUCUGCCCUAGGCCAGCCACCAGCCAAGCAGCACACAGGAAGUUCUGCUUAAUCACAAACAAGGGCCUCACUUCGCUGCCCAGGUUGGCCUGGAAUUUGGGAUCCCCUUGUCUCAGCCUCCCCAAAUGCCGGGAUGACAGGAGUGCACCUUCACACCAGGCCCAGACUCCUCUGGUAAAAUGGGGACAUUAAUCAAAAUGCCUCGGGUGGCCAUGCGGAUCGACUGCAGGAGAGUUGAGGGCAGCCUUCAGCGCAUCCCCAGGCACCCGAGGACUGCCCACUGGCUGAAAACCAUGUAACAUAACAAAUUUAGCCAACAGAGGGCUGAUUCCUCAAGGAGUUGUCUGUCACUUAAGAAGAAAGUGCAAAAGGCUGUGAGGGAAAAUUCUGGAUGAGCGUAGAAAGUUUUCAGGAAGCCUGUGUGGGUGCGUGGUCUUUUUAAAUGCAAAGAAGAUUUGCAAGGAUCCUAUGUGAACUGCUAAAGAGAGUCACGUGACUGGGAUGAGCACCACAGGCAGGUGGGGAGCUUUUGUAUUUUACUCUUAGAGUAAAGCAUUUUCAAGGGAAAAAAAAAUUCAAAGCAGGCACUCCCAUUGGACUUUAUUUUUGUAAUGGGGAUUAAACCCAGAGAUGCUUUACCACUGAGUCACAUCUCCAGCCCUUUUUAUUCCCCAGCCCUUUAAUUUUCAUUUUGAGACAGAGUCUUGCUAAGUUGCUGAUGUAGAGAGCCAGAUGUAGAGAGCACUGCGACUGGCAGAGGCCCCCUGGUUUGAGAGGGGCCCUUUGCUCCCACAGGGAAAGCUGAUGCUGAGCCCCAUCCUUCAGGCCCUUCUAAGGAUGGGCAGGGGGCCAUCCUAGGGUCUAUUUCAUGUAAACCUAUUAGGAUUUACUUUAUUUUUUUUUUGGUGGGGGGUACCAGGGUUUGAACCCAGAGACACUUAACCACUGAGCCACAUCCCCAGACCUUUUUUUUU
Non-coding RNA from Ictidomys tridecemlineatus (thirteen-lined ground squirrel), 1213 nucleotides. The record is from RefSeq and is a predicted model, not a curated record. NCBI's taxonomy places the organism in Eukaryota, Metazoa, Chordata, Mammalia, Rodentia, Sciuridae.